GACGAACGCUGGCGGCGUGCCUAAUACAUGCAAGUUGAGCGCUGAAGGCUGGUACUUGUACCAACUGGAUGAGCAGCGCACGGGUGAGUAACGCGUGGGGAAUCUGCCUUUGAGCGGGGGACAACCUUUGGAAACGAAUGCUAAUACCGCAUAAAAACUUUCAACAUAAGUUUUAAGUUUGAAAGAUGCAAUUGCAUCACUCACAGAUGAUUCCUCGUUGUAUUAGGUAGUUGGUGAGGUAAAGGCGCACCAAGGCGGUGAUACAUAGCCGACCUGAGAGGAUGGUCGGCCACAUUGGGACUGAGACACGGCCCAAAGGCAUACGGGAGGCAGCAGUAGGGAAUCUGCGGGAAUGGGCGAAAAUCUGACCGAGAAAGGCCGCGUGAGUGAAGAGGGUUGUCGGGUCGUAAAACUCGGUUGGUAGAGAAGAACGUUGGUGAGAGUGGAAAGCUCAUCAAGUGACGGUAACUACCCAGGAAGGGACGGCUAACUACGUG
Molecule: ribosomal RNA, 497 nt
Filed under: uncultured bacterium
Lineage: Bacteria
Description: partial 16S ribosomal RNA
Rfam family: Bacterial small subunit ribosomal RNA
Source: RNAcentral